CAGCACCUCAAGUGGUCAGGAUGAUUAUUGGGCCUAAAGCAUCCGUAGCCGGCGCUGUAAGUUUUCGGUUAAAUCUGUACGCUCAACGUACAGGCUGCCGGGAAUACUGCAGCGCUAGGGAGUGGGAGAGGUAGACGGUACUCGGUAGGAAGGGGUAAAAUCCUUUGAUCUAUUGAUGACCUCCUGUGGCGAAGGCGGUCUACCAGAACACGUCCGACGGUGAGGGAUGAAAGCUGGGGGAGCAAACCGGAUUAGAUGCCCGAGUAGUCC
This 270-nucleotide ribosomal RNA is filed under the name uncultured archaeon. RNAcentral describes it as "partial 16S ribosomal RNA". It matches the Rfam family "Archaeal small subunit ribosomal RNA", at positions 477 to 747 of the family's 1478-position model. The record is from RNAcentral.